RNAcentral lists this non-coding RNA (30 nucleotides) under Homo sapiens (human). Lineage: Eukaryota; Metazoa; Chordata; Mammalia; Primates; Hominidae. The record is from RNAcentral.
UGUUACCUGACACAGUAUUACCCAUACAGC